AAGAGCCCUAUGAAGGGAGACUUUCACCUACGGUUCUGUGAGAACGCAGGGGUGAAAUUCCCUUGCGUGACUCGAU
Molecule: non-coding RNA, 76 nt
Organism: Flavobacterium granuli
Lineage: Bacteria; Pseudomonadati; Bacteroidota; Flavobacteriia; Flavobacteriales; Flavobacteriaceae
Source: Rfam